AAAGUGUUGGACAGAUUAUCCAAAUCCAGCAGGAAGAAAAUGAUCACCUCAGAUCUACUUUCGAAUGUGAUGGAAAACAGCAAAGGAGAGAUCCAUCAGAUUCGAUUUCACUCCAACAAAGAAUACAAAGGAUGGAAGACUUUCAGAAACAUGUCAAGCUCAUGUCCUAUCUGAAA
This is a long non-coding RNA of Cyprinodon tularosa, 176 nucleotides long. RefSeq lists it as uncharacterized. The record is from RefSeq and is a predicted model, not a curated record. NCBI's taxonomy places the organism in Eukaryota, Metazoa, Chordata, Actinopteri, Cyprinodontiformes, Cyprinodontidae. The transcript has 5 exons.